GUCUUGAGCGUAUUGUGGGUUUCCUGUGUUGCAUACCUUUCUAAUGGUAUCGUGUUGAUUGAUCGAAGUCCCUUUUCAUCUUGUGUUGCUUUUUGCGACGCAUGAUGAACCUCGAGGCGGUCUCUAUGUUCCACCACGUUGAUGCUAGCGUUUUGAUGUUGUGGCCCAUUGAGUGUUGCUUGGUUUCGUGGAUACAGAACAUGAUUUGGGCAUAGGGUUACUUGUGUGACUCUUGUUUUGUCCUUUAUCUGUGUUCUUUAAAACGACGGUUCAUGCGCGCCUAGGCUCGUACCUGCGCGAUGUUCUUUGUCGAAGAGGAAUGCUACCUGGUUGAUCCUGCCAGUAGUCAUAUGCUUGUCUCAAAGAUUAAGCCAU
This 375-nucleotide unclassified non-coding RNA is filed under the name Senecio glaucophyllus subsp. basinudus. Its description in RNAcentral is "partial contains external transcribed spacer and 18S ribosomal RNA". The stretch from base 324 to 375 matches the Rfam family "Eukaryotic small subunit ribosomal RNA", at positions 1 to 52 of the family's 1831-position model. Lineage: Eukaryota; Viridiplantae; Streptophyta; Magnoliopsida; Asterales; Asteraceae. The record is from RNAcentral.